Long non-coding RNA from Leptonychotes weddellii (Weddell seal), 1888 nucleotides. RefSeq lists it as uncharacterized. Lineage: Eukaryota; Metazoa; Chordata; Mammalia; Carnivora; Phocidae. The record is from RefSeq and is a predicted model, not a curated record.
GGGACGCGCCGGCGCCGCGCGGGACCCGGGGAGGCGCACAGCUCGCUUACCUGAUGAUGAAAGGGCUCUCUCUCGGGCCAGCGCCCGGGCAGUUUCGGCCACCUCGGCCCGGGCAGAUCCACAAUGGGGUGACUGACGACCGAGGACGAGCCGGAGCCUCCACGGCUGCCCGGUGUCUUCGCCGCCGCAGAGCAAGGGGGGGGUAAGGAGGAGAAAGAACUCGCGGGGGCUCAGGCGCCCCGGCAGAAGGAGCAGGAGGAGAGCGGGGAGGCGAGAGCGCACGGCGGUGGAGAGCCCCUCGAUCAAUUUUCAUGCAAGAAUCAUUAUCGGUAAAUUGGAAAGCUGGCUGCCUGACAGCAGAUUUGUCUCCCCUAAUGAAAGCGAAAGGGUAGGGGCGCAGCGGCGGGCGGCUGCAGGCGGCGGCGGCUCCUUCCGUCUCUACGCGGCAUCUUCCAAGAGCUCCAUGCUUUGCAGAGCGAUAAUAAUAGUUUCACUUGCGAGCUUCUCCCAGCGCGGCCGCCAAGCUGGGCAGCAGAUCCGUGCGGUCUGGGAUCCGGGCGCAGAGAGCUGGGCUCCCCUCUCCAAACGCGGGGAGGGUGCAGUAGCUGGCAGCGGGGCGCUCCGCUCUGCCCCAAAGCGGGGCCGUUUGCAAACAGUGGGCGGCUGCGGGCGCCGCCGGGCCCCCCUCGGCUGCCCAACUCCGCGCUCUGGCCACUCGCCCGCCCUCCCCACCCACGGCUGACAGCUGCGGGAGCCGGAGUUCACCCGCCGCCCGGGCCUAGGAGGAGAAUACCCAAACCGUGCCCCGGGGGCUCUGGCCAGCCUUUUGUGAACCCACGCGGGACUGCGGAAACGCACACGCCGCCCAGCCCGGGUGAGCUCCUAAGGCGAGCAGCUUCUUUCUCUCCUUUCUCUUCCUUGCACCCCGCACCCCACCCUUAAAAAUCCCUGUUGCAAGUGUAAUCAAAUGCUUGAUACCAUCUUCCACACUCUCCCCGCACUGGUGCAUUAUCAGAUCCGGGAAGGCAUGCUUCCAGGCAAAUAGACCUAAUAAAUGCUAUUACUGGGAUUCUGCAAGCCCCGGCUGCACCAUAGUAACCAGAGCCCUGGCUAAUUUGGUUUAAGAGAACGAUCAACUGCACAGAGUGUGUGUGAGGGAGUGUGGAGUCUGUAUCUCUCCUCCCCACGCCGCCUCUCUUUCACACUAGCUCAAGAAGGCCCCAUGUGAUAAUUCCCCAAAUCGAAGGGGAAAAAACCCUGCCGCCAAACCACAUCCUGUGCGCUCAUUGUCCAGCCCAGCGAUUUUAAAGAGACAGGCUCCAUUUCCCCACGCCCCCACACACUCUUAAACACACGCUGCAAAGCUGCCUCUUGAUGUGACAAUUUAUUUUCAAGCCCUUUUACCUUCUGAAGGGCCCCUUGGUGGCACAGCGAGCCGGAAUCGCGACUUGGUGACACUAAGGGGUCACCUUUUGACCUCCCAUACAACCAUCCUGGUUUGAGGAACAGACCUGAGCCCGCAGGUACGCAGGGCGGGGCACCGCGGUCACGCCAAGCUUGGGUUCCUGCCAACGCUUUCCAGCCACUGCGUAAAUCAGGGGUCCCCAGCGGCAGCCCCGGGGUCCCUGCUAAAUGCGGCGGCUUCAGAUGACAAUUGAACUCCCGGAAUAUGAUACUCUAGAGGAGAGCUCCGGAGGGCAAAUUGGAGGAGGUGGGGGCACCAACCGUGCCUCCUGACCCCUCUGUGCCACCGACGCCCACUCCCCCCCCCCGCCCGCCAGAAGACUCUUAAACGGGCUGGGCGGAGCGCUCGGAGCCGAGGGAGAGGUGGCGCUCCUCCCCGCCGCCACCAACGGCUGGGUGGGUGCCGCAGGCAGGCGGCCGCCUU